GUUUGUCGCGUUGUUCGUGAAAUCUCACGGCUUAACUGUGAGCGUGCGGGCGAUACGGGCAGACUUGAGUACUGCAGGGGAGACUGGAAUUCCUGGUGUAGCGGUGGAAUGCGCAGAUAUCAGGAGGAACACCGGUGGCGAAGGCGGGUCUCUGGGCAGUAACUGACGCUGAGGAGCGAAAGCGUGGGGAGCGAACAGGAUUAGAUACCCUGGUAGUCCACGCCGUAAACGGUGGGUACUAGGUGUGGGUUUCCUUCCUUGGGAUCCGUGCCGUAGCUAACGCAUUAAGUACCCCGCCUGGGGAGACGCGCCGCAAGGCUAAAUCUCAAAGAUCUUGACGGGGGCCCGCACAAGCGUCGGAGCAUGUGGAUUAAUUCGAUGCAACGCGAAGAACCUUACCUGGGUUUGACAUGCACAGGACGCCGGCAGAGAUGUCGGUUCCCUUGUGGCCUGUGUGCAGGUGGUGCAUGGCUGUCGUCAGCUCGUGUCGUGAGAUGUUGGGUUAAGUCCCGCAACGAGCGCAACCCUUGUCUCAUGUUGCCAGCGGGUAAUGCCGGGGACUCGUGAGAGACUGCCGGGGUCAACUCGGAGGAAGGUGGGGAUGACGUCAAGUCAUCAUGCCCCUUAUGUCCAGGGCUUCACACAUGCUACAAUGGCCGGUACAAAGGGCUGCGAUGCCGCGAGGUUAAGCGAAUCCUUUUAAAGCCGGUCUCAGUUCGGAUCGGGGUCUGCAACUCGACCCCGUGAAGUCGGAGUCGC
This 759-nucleotide ribosomal RNA is filed under the name uncultured bacterium. Its description in RNAcentral is "bacterial SSU rRNA". It matches the Rfam family "Bacterial small subunit ribosomal RNA", at positions 578 to 1335 of the family's 1533-position model. The record is from RNAcentral.